UACAGAGGUCUCAAGCGGUGCGCGGAUUCACUGGGCUUAAAGGGUGCGCAGGCGGUCUCGCAAGUGCCUUGUGAAAUCCCACGGCUUAACCGUGGAAUGGCUCGGUAGACUGCGGGACUUGAGGUCGGCAGAGGUCGCCGGAACGCUAGGUGGAGCGGUGAAAUGCGUAGAUAUCUAGCGGAACGCCAAAGGUGAAGACAGGCGACUGGGCCGAUUCUGACGCUCAGGCACGAAAGCGUGGGUAGCGAACGGG
Molecule: ribosomal RNA, 253 nt
Filed under: uncultured bacterium
Lineage: Bacteria
Description: partial 16S ribosomal RNA
Rfam family: Bacterial small subunit ribosomal RNA
Source: RNAcentral